UACGGGGGGGGCAAGCGUUGUUCGGAAUUACUGGGCGUAAAGGGCUCGUAGGCGGCCAACUAAGUCAGACGUGAAAUCCCCUCGGCUUAACCGGGGGAACUGCGUCUGAUACUGGAUGGCUUGAGGUUGGGAGAGGGAUGCGGAAUUCCAGGUGUAGCGGUGAAAUGCGUAGAUAUCUGGAGGAACACCGGUGGCGAAGGCGGCAUCCUGGACCAAUUCUGACGCUGAGGAGCGAAAGCCAGGGGGAGCAAACGGG
This 256-nucleotide ribosomal RNA is filed under the name uncultured bacterium. RNAcentral describes it as "partial 16S ribosomal RNA". It matches the Rfam family "Bacterial small subunit ribosomal RNA", at positions 524 to 776 of the family's 1533-position model. The record is from RNAcentral.